RNAcentral lists this transfer RNA (94 nucleotides) under Pararobbsia alpina. RNAcentral describes it as "tRNA-Ala". The record is from RNAcentral. Lineage: Bacteria; Pseudomonadati; Pseudomonadota; Betaproteobacteria; Burkholderiales; Burkholderiaceae.
UUGGCGCUGGCCCGGUUCGGGGUGGCUCGGCCGCCUCGCGCGCGACCGCAUGGCACAGGUCAGUGUGAGCCUGAACGUAGCCGACGCGCCUGUC